ACUGGUUCAAACAGCUCAGGACCUUGGUUUCAGUAUUCUGACUGGAUAUUAUGCUAGGCUCUGAGUGCUACUAAGAAGGUGUUGUAGCCAGCCCUCAGAAGGGUCUGUCCUUGAUGCUGUGGAAAUGGGAGCAAACCUUUUGAUCUUGUUAUUGUUGAUGCUUCAGGAGAAGGUGUCCAACGCAAAUUCAGAGCAAAAUUUCUGGAACUGUGAUGAAAACAAGAUUAAAGAAGAAAUCAUUGGCAACAGAGUGCUUCAACAACUGAACUGCUGAAGUUUUUUCGGUGGAAUUAAGCUGAGAAGGAUCAUAAUGGAAAGCGACACUGAAAAAUCACAGGUUGUGCUUUAAAGUCACAAGAUGCCAUCAGUUUUGGGGAGAAAUCUCUAUCAAGGUCAUUCUCUUUCCUGCAUCAGUUGCUCACUUACACUGGGAGGACCCUGCAGCACACGGCGGUACCUUGAGAUGCCAAUUACUCUGAUUUGGAAUUUUGUGUACAGUAAUUAAACAGCCAGGUAGCAGCAGACAUGUGUUGCCCUGAGAUAACACGCUCCUUGGAAGUAUCAUGAGGCAGGAGGUGAAAUGAGUGCCUCCAGUGACCUGGGAAACGCAUUUAUCUCAGCGCUGCACGAGCCUGGGGGGGCAUUGCCAUUGUACACCAGCUACCAGCAUUAUUAGCUGCCCUGUGAUUGAUUGCACCAUGUCAAACAUAUGUUUAAAACAUGUUCAGCCUUGUGCAUCAUGUGAUAAUUAUGUCUGACUCUGAAGGACCAAUAUAUCAGGUGUGAGGCGAUAGGAGCAUGAAGUGUUUGGGGUUUUUUUGUUUUCACUGGGAUACGCAUGACUGGCAAAAGUUAUCUUGAGAGGGACUUGAGCUCCAGAGUGGCACAGCUUCAACAAACCCAACAUCCAUAAUGCAGGAGAGUGCUCACAUGUAAUUGGCUCAAGUGGAGCAUUCAGAGCUGGUGUGUAUUAUUCCUUUUUUUACAAAUACAUUUGUGCAUGGGAGUGUUUGCAUGCCCAGAGUGAUCUCCACCGUGUUUAUUUUCAACCCAUGAUUAUUUUUGCCCCCUGCCUGGUGCUGUGAGCUGUUUCAUUUUUCAGGUGACUGACAAGGAGCAUUUUUUCCGGCAGCACUGAACAGCCUGGCACUGUCCCUGGGAUGAGGGUUGGCUGCUCAGCACACCUCUGGCAGACAAAGGGCUUUGUGCUGCCUGCUCCUGCCCACAGCUCCACAUCACACACAGGAGAAAGGUCUAUCUUUAAUCUGAGCUGCUCAGGAAAUCAAAGGGGGGCGAUUAAAACAAGAGCAGUGACUGAUUUCCGUAGGAGAUCGCUUUCCUGUUUCAUUUGAUAUAAUGAACAGGAGAAUCAAAGCAAGGUUAGAAGCCCCUUGCACCUUCUUUUCCAGCAGUUUC
Molecule: long non-coding RNA, 1416 nt
Organism: Corvus hawaiiensis (hawaiian crow)
Lineage: Eukaryota; Metazoa; Chordata; Aves; Passeriformes; Corvidae
Exons: 5
Source: RefSeq, a predicted model, not a curated record